RNAcentral lists this ribosomal RNA (497 nucleotides) under uncultured bacterium. Its description in RNAcentral is "partial 16S ribosomal RNA". It matches the Rfam family "Bacterial small subunit ribosomal RNA", at positions 28 to 507 of the family's 1533-position model. The record is from RNAcentral.
GAUGAACGCUGGCGGCGUGCCUAAUACAUGCAAGUCGAGCGAACAGAUGAGGAGCUUGCUCCUCUGACGUUAGCGGCGGACGGGUGAGUAACACGUGGAUAACCUACCUAUAAGACUGGGAUAACUUCGGGAAACCGGAGCUAAUACCGGAUAAUAUAUUGAACCGCAUGGUUCAAUAGUGAAAGACGGUUUUGCUGUCACUUAUAGAUGGAUCCGCGCCGCAUUAGCUAGUUGGUAAGGUAACGGCUUACCAAGGCAACGAUGCGUAGCCGACCUGAGAGGGGGAUAGGCCACACGGGAACGGAGACACGGUCAAGACUCCUACGGGAGGCAGCAGUAGGGAAUGGUACGCAAUGGGCGAAAGCCUGACGGAGCAACGCGGCGUGAGUGAUGAAGGUCUUCGGAGCGGAAAACUCUGUUAUUAGGGAAGAACAAAUGUGUAAGUAACUAUGCACGUAUUGACGGUACCGAAUCAGAAAGCAACGGCUAACUACGUG